GUGGGGAAUAUUGGACAAUGGGCGAAAGCCUGAUCCAGCCAUGCCGCGUGUGUGAAGAAGGUCUUCGGAUUGUAAAGCACUUUAAGUUGGGAGGAAGGGCAGUAAGUUAAUACCUUGCUGUUUUGACGUUACCAACAGAAUAAGCACCGGCUAACUUCGUGCCAGCAGCCGCGGUAAUACGAAGGGUGCAAGCGUUAAUCGGAAUUACUGGGCGUAAAGCGCGCGUAGGUGGUUUGGUAAGAUGGAUGUGAAAUCCCCGGGCUCAACCUGGGAACUGCAUCCAUAACUGCCUGACUAGAGUACGGUAGAGGGUGGUGGAAUUUCCGGUGUAGCGGUGAAAUGCGUAGAUAUAGGAAGGAACACCAGUGGCGAAGGCGACCACCUGGACUGAUACUGACACUGAGGUGCGAAAGCGUGGGGAGCAAACAGGAUUAGAUACCCUAGUAGUCC
This 450-nucleotide ribosomal RNA is filed under the name uncultured bacterium. RNAcentral's name for it is "partial 16S ribosomal RNA". It matches the Rfam family "Bacterial small subunit ribosomal RNA", at positions 354 to 796 of the family's 1533-position model. The record is from RNAcentral.